Non-coding RNA from Cinara cedri, 999 nucleotides. The record is from the annotation of a GenBank genome assembly. NCBI's taxonomy places the organism in Eukaryota, Metazoa, Arthropoda, Insecta, Hemiptera, Aphididae.
UAUCACAAAGAUUCCUAAGAGACCGGAUACGACAUAUCCUAUCCCAGUAAACCUCCCCCAAAUUUUUUUAAAUUCAGAAUGGACCAUAUUACUUAUUGUUUGUUCGCUUAUAAUAUUCCUAUUAUCAAAUCCUUGAUUUAUUACUUCAUGACCAAUUGUCUGUCUUAUUAGAUUUUUCUAGGCCGUUUCAGUUUGAUGCGGGUACAUGAGGUGUUUUAGUAGUGCAUUGAUUAUUUCCGGAAUGUAAAUUCCGACCGUCAUGAAAUUAUCUGCAUUUUCGUAAGACCAGGAUAGUGUGGUAGCUGGUUUCAAUUUUUGAGGAGGAUAUUAUAUUUCCUAGAGGUGUGUAGUACACUCUAUGUUGAUGGAAAUAAAACAUGUUUGAAAAUAUACGGGGUGUGUUUCUGCUUUCUGUAAUAGUUUUAUUCUUCGCAUGUGUUAGAUUUCGACGGGCGUUGGUAUGUCACANCUGGAAUGUAAAUUCCGACCAUCAUGAAGUUAUCUGCAUUUUCGUAAGACCAGGAUAGUGUGGUAGCUGGUUUCAAUUUUUGAGGAGAAUAUUAUAUUUCCUAGAGGUGUGUAGUACACUCUAUGUUGAUGGAAAUAAAAUAUGUUUAAAAAAAUAUACGGGGUGUGUUUCUGCUUUCUGUAAUAGUUUUAUUCUUCGCAUGUGUUAUAGUUUUAUUCUUCGCAUGUGUUAGAUUUCGACGGGCGUUGGUAUGUCACAGUCGUCCACUUUGGUAUGUCACAGUCGUCCACUUCUAAGCUGUUGAAAGAUGUGAUGUAGACUUGUGAUCCACCACAAUCAUAAGCUAUACAUUUGUUUGUAGUUGUGCAAAAUGUAAAGAAUAUAAACAGAGAGUCUUUGAGCAUGUUGAUUAUUUGUAUUAUAUAAUAAAUAAAUAAAGAAAAAAAAAAAAAAAAAAAAAUAUAUCUAUAUAUAAAUAAAUGAACAAAUAGUUACAAAUAAUAUAAGGAAAUUGUGAUAGUAAUGAUGUG